RNAcentral lists this ribosomal RNA (468 nucleotides) under uncultured bacterium. RNAcentral's name for it is "partial 16S ribosomal RNA". It matches the Rfam family "Bacterial small subunit ribosomal RNA", at positions 28 to 507 of the family's 1533-position model. The record is from RNAcentral.
GACGAACGCUGGCGGCGUGCUUAACACAUGCAAGUCGAACGGAAAGGCCCUGCUUUUGUGGGUUGCUCGAGUGGCGAACGGGUGAGUAACACGUGAGUAACCUGCCCUUGACUUUGUGAUAACUUCAGGAAACUGGGGCUCAUACCGGAUAGGAGCUCCUGCUGCAUGGUGGGGGUUGGAAAGUUUCGGCGGUUGGGGAUGGACUCGCGGCUUAUCCGCUUGAUGGUGAGGUAGUGGCUUACCAAGGCUUUGACGGGUAGCCGGCCUGAGAGGGUGACCGGCCACAUUGGGACUGAGAUACGGCCCAGACUCCUACGGGAGGCAGCAGUGGGGAAUAUGGCACAAUGGGCGGAAGCCAGAUGCAGCAACGCCGCGUGCGGGAUGACGUCUUUCGGGGGAUAAACCGCUUUCGCCGGUGACGAAGCGUGAGUGACGGUAAUGGGUAAAGAAGCACCGGCUAACUACGUG